Molecule: ribosomal RNA, 379 nt
Filed under: uncultured eukaryote
Lineage: Eukaryota
Description: SSU rRNA
Rfam family: Eukaryotic small subunit ribosomal RNA
Source: RNAcentral
AGCUCCAAUAGCGUAUAUUUAAGUUGUUGCAGUUAAAAAGCUCGUAGUUGGAUUUCGGGUGUGCUGACGCGGUCUGCCUCUGGUAUGUACUGCGGCCGGUGCACCUUUCUGCCGGGGACGAGCUCCUGGGCUUCACUGUCUGGGACUCGGAGUCGGCGAGGUGACCUUGAGCAAACAAGAGUGUUCAAAGCAAGCCUACGCUCUGAAUUUUUUAGCAUGGAAUCACACGAUAGGACUCUGGCCUAUCUUGUUGGUCUGUAGGACCGGAGUAAUGAUUAAGAGGGACAGUCGGGGGCAUUCGUAUUUCAUUGUCAGAGGUGAAAUUCUUGGAUUUAUUGAAGACUAACUACUGCGAAAGCAUUUGCCAAGGAUGUUUUCA